RNAcentral lists this ribosomal RNA (433 nucleotides) under uncultured bacterium. RNAcentral's name for it is "partial 16S ribosomal RNA". It matches the Rfam family "Bacterial small subunit ribosomal RNA", at positions 29 to 507 of the family's 1533-position model. The record is from RNAcentral.
AACGAACGCUGGCGGCAUGCCUAACACAUGCAAGUCGAACGAGACCUUCGGGUCUAGUGGCGCACGGGUGCGUAACGCGUGGGAACCUGCCCUUAGGUUCGGAAUAACUCCCCGAAAGGGGUGCUAAUACCGGAUAAUGUCUUCGGACCAAAGAUUUAUCGCCUUUGGAUGGGCCCGCGUUGGAUUAGCUAGUUGGUAGGGUAAAAGCCUACCAAGGCGACGAUCCAUAGCUGGUCUGAGAGGAUGAUCAGCCACACUGGGACUGAGACACGGCCCAGACUCCUACGGGAGGCAGCAGCGGGGAAUAUUGGACAAUGGGCGAAAGCCUGAUUCAGCAAUGCCGCGUGAGUGAUGAAGGCCUUAGGGUUGUAAAGCUCUUUUACCCGGGAUGAUAAUGACAGUACCGGGAGAAUAAGCUCCGGCUAACUCCGUG